This 508-nucleotide ribosomal RNA is filed under the name uncultured bacterium. RNAcentral describes it as "partial 16S ribosomal RNA". It matches the Rfam family "Bacterial small subunit ribosomal RNA", at positions 28 to 523 of the family's 1533-position model. The record is from RNAcentral.
GAUGAACGCUAGCUACAGGCUUAACACAUGCGAGUCGAGGGGAAACGAUAUUGGAAGCUUGCUUCCGAUAGGCGUCGACCGGCGCACGGGUGAGUAACGCGUAUCCAACCUGCCCACCACUUGGGGAUAACCUUGCGAAAGUAAGACUAAUACCCAAUGACGUCCAUAGAAGACAUCUGAAAUGGAUUAAAGAUUUAUCGGUGAUGGAUGGGGAUGCGUCUGAUUAUCUUGUUGGCGGGGUAACGGCCCACCAAGGCGACGAUCAGUAGGGGUUCUGAGAGGAAGGUCGCCCACAUUGGAACUGAGAAACGGUCCAAACUCCUACGGGAGGCAGCAGUGAGGAAUAUUGGUCAAUGGGCGAGAGCCUGAACCAGCCAAGUAGCGUGCAGGAUGACGGCCCUAUGGGUUGUAAACUGCUUUUAUAAGGGAAUAAAGUGAGUCUCGUGAGACUUUUUGCAUGUACCUUAUGAAUAAGGACCGGCUAAUUCCGUGCCAGCAGCCGCGGUAA